This is a non-coding RNA of Anolis sagrei ordinatus, 860 nucleotides long. NCBI's taxonomy places the organism in Eukaryota, Metazoa, Chordata, Lepidosauria, Squamata, Anolidae. The record is from RefSeq and is a predicted model, not a curated record.
AAGCUCUCUCGUUUUUUCCUCUGUAAGGGGUAUUUCUGUACAUUCUUUCCUUCCUGGAGUGGACACCCCCAAAGAGGAGAGAUCCUUGAGGACAGUUGGUUGCCCCAAUGCAGCAUUUUAUUUGUGUGGGUGGGGUGUGGUGAGGGUCUGCAGCAAAUGGGAGGCAACACCCCUCCGAAAAGAUGUGGGGACAGGAGAGGGAAAGGUGCCUUAGCAUUCCUCUUGGGUCCUAAGCCCUUUAAAAGAUGGCUCCUGCUCUUGUUCGUCUUCUUUGCUGGGGGCUGGAAAGAGGAAAGAAACCUCUUGUUUCGGUGUUCUUUGAAUGUUUACCAAUUACGUAACUAAUUGCCUCCAAGAGCUGUGGAGAAUGAUUUUGUAAGAUUGCAUCAGGUUCUGAUAGCUGAGAAGAUUCAACGCAACCUAGGAGAGACCUAGUUAAUUGCUAAAGAUGUGUUGAAGAAUGGAAUAUGCUGAAAAUGACUGUGUGAAAUACCUGAUACUGGCUGAAGCAUUGACUCCAGACAAAGGAAGAAUCCCAAAGGGAGACCACGAGUUCCAAACCAAGAUGGCAGUUCAGCUGAUUCAGUGGUUAAGGAAGUGAAGUAAUGCAUGAUUGCUGGAUAUGUCCAUCCAAAACAGGGACCCUUUAGCAUGGACUGCAUUGUUUUCUAAACCAGAGAAGACUUGGGCCAAAGAUGAUCUGAUCACCGAUUUUUAAAAUUGACUUCAAUGGAGGGAUGGGAAGGGAUGGCUGCAUUUUCAUACCAUGAAUGUAUGGAUGUAUUUGUCUGAUUUGGUGGGCAAAAGUGCAAUGCUGUUUUAAAAUGGCUUAAAUAAAAGUAUUUGUUUUACAUUUGUAA